Non-coding RNA from Chlorocebus sabaeus (green monkey), 5122 nucleotides. NCBI's taxonomy places the organism in Eukaryota, Metazoa, Chordata, Mammalia, Primates, Cercopithecidae. The record is from RefSeq and is a predicted model, not a curated record.
AAAAAAAAAAAAAAAAGAGAAAAAGGUCUACAUUGUGUUAGAUACCUCCCUAUGCAGGCACUUUUGCAAAUUUUGGCUCCUUUGAGCUUCAGGACAAUGCUUCUUGGUAGAUAAUACCACGAAUUCCAUUUCACAGACAAACAAAAUGAAGAUCAGAGAGGGGGAAGCAGCUUGCUCAGAAAGUGGCAGAUUAUUCUGGUUUUAUGAAGCUGAGUUAGUGUUCCUUACUGUUCUUAUAACCACUUAUUCUUUUUUUUAUGACAACUUAAUGAGAGGAGUUAAUAAGUGAUCACACUGAAUCAUGGCCAUAUCCUACCACCUUAGAACUGUGCCUUGCAAACCUAACCUCUACCUGAAAUUAUGGACUAAUUUCCAACUGUCUACUCAACAUCUCCCUUGGAUAGCUAGUAUGCUUCUCCAAGUUGACAAAGACAAAACAAAUAUUUUGAGGUUUACCUCCAAGUCAGCGACUCCCAUAGUUUUCUCUAUUUCUGUAAAUCACCCUGUUAUCUACCCACUAGCCCAAGCCAAAGUCUCAUCCAUGAGAAAUCCUACUGAAAAAUACAACAAAAUCAGUGUACUUCUUUCUUCUCUACCACUCCUGCUCUGCUCUAACCCUUCUUCUGUCUCUUACCAAGAUCACUAUAGAAGAGCAGUAGUAGCCUGUUCUCUGAUUCUUCUAUUUUUACUCUUUCCUUCAAUCCCUUCUUCAUUUUCCAUACACAAAUCAAAUAACAAUGCAAAUUCUUACUUAAAGUUCUUCAGUGGCUUGACCCUUCAAUGGCUUUUAGGUUAAAAUCAUAACUCCUGCAUGACUUCCUUAUUCUAUCCCUCAUCUCACACCAAUCUCACAUUCCCCAACAUGCCAGCUUGCUGGCAUCCUCUCUGUUUCUUGAACAUGCCAAGCCAAUAUCAUUCCUGCUGCAAGACUGGUGUUACUCCCCUUGUCUCUGAUUGUUGUAUGCCUGGCUCCUGCUUGGCAUUAGAUCUUAAGUGUCACUUCCUCAGAGAAGGCUUUCCUGAUCACCCAACUUAAAGGAAAACUCAGUUAUUUUCUAUGACAUCAUCACCAUUUUCCUAAUUUUUCUUUAUGGUACAUACUGAUACCUGGUUGUAUUCAUACACUUAUAUAUUUACUUCCCCCUGUAGAAUGUAGAUUUGGACUGACUUUUCUUAUUUAUCUCCAACACCCAGAACAGUUUUCCCCAAUACCUAGAUCAAUGCAUGACACAUAAUAGGCAUAUCAUAUGAAAGCUUUUGUGGGUAGCUGCAAAGAAUGGUUUCUGGGAGAUUUUUCUAGGUGUUUUCUAUGACCCAGUCCUCAGGGGUAGAGAUGUACACUGUUCUAUGUUAUAUGUCCAGAAAAAAGGUGACAAUUUCAGAGAUUAAUAUUGUGUUCAAAGACACAAACCUAGUUCAUGAGAGAGUUACAGUUAGACCUCAGGUCUCUUUUCACGGGACCGCUAUCAUCUGUCUCUCACUCUGUCUCCAUGAUGUCAAGGGCUUGCUGUGUGACUAGUGAAGCCUUCUUCACCUCCCUUAAAUAAAAGUGUUUCUUUAAUUAAUUCAAAUAAUUUACUCAUUUCUUUAAUCUUCAUGCAUUUAUUCGACAUAUACUCAAUGUUCAGUGUUUCCAAACACUUUGAUAUGAUUGUAGAAGAGGUUCUGUAUUCGUGGUUUGAGCUUUCUGAAAAGGAAAAGGAACUGAUUGCAGCUGCUGGGGGAUUUCUGGCCAAUCAGAAGGAACAUUUGACUAAAGAGCUGAGUUUACUCCUAGGAGACUGAGAGUUGGCCUAUGGGAAAAAUUCUCAAAGACCCUACUGCCCCCACAACAUCUCCCUCACUGUGUUUGUCAUCCAGAGUUAUAUGGGUACCAUUGUGUGUGUACCUCUGGGGCUAGCAAUGUGGGAGCUCUCCCCCACGGACCCUCGGCUUGACAGCCUGAGGUCUGGCUAAAACUUUACAGGCAUGUACAGGUGAAGGCAAAUAGUAUGACUCAUGGAAGAACAAUGACAGAGAUGUGUUGGACUCUGGCCUUUCUGGUCACAUUUUGAGUGCUUUGCCCCACUGGUCCUGCCCUUCCCUAAUGUUACAUACCCUGAAGGAAGAGACUGAGCAUAUAUUUUAAGCAAAUGUCAUGUGAGUGAGCCUAUCCUGGCAACCUUAGUUACAUUUGUAGUUCUCCCCCUACUUGGUCCUCCCCAUCCGCAUUCCCUACCUGCUUUCCCCCAUAGCAUUUAUCAGUCUCAAACCCACUAGAUAAUAUACUACUUCUUUGCUUAUUGCAACCUCCCUUUACUGAAGGGAGCUGAAUGGAAGCUCCUCUGUGAGGGUGGGAUUUUGUCUGCUUUUUUCACUUCUGCAUCCCUAGCACCUUUAAGAGUGCCUGGACAUUAUAGAUGAUUAGUAACCACAGCCUCAGGGAGAUCCCUCUCACACAGAUGCCGGGGCUUGGUCAUGUGACUUGCUUUGGCCAAUGGAGCUUUAGCAAACAUGAAACAGAUUUAAAAAGCACUUUUGCAUUGGGACUAUCUUGCUGCUGGGAGUUCUUCUCCCACCAUGUGAACAAACCUGCACUGAUAAAAGCUUGAUGGGAGAACAAACCUACAGGAUAAGAGGCUGUAUGACAAGAGGCUUCAGCCAUCCCAGCCGUGCCAGUCAUCCCAACUGAGAGACCUCAGACAUCCUACCAACUUCACUUCUUGGCCAUAUAGGAAGGAGUCAGCGUCCCAAAGAAGUCUGGAGAGAGUAGGAUGUGGCAGAGAACAGUGAUCGGUGCCUUGGUGUGGAACGGGGAGCACUGGUGAAAGGGUGCAGAGUUUGGGGGAGGGGAAAGCUGAGGGUCCUUGGCCUUCUCGGAUUCCCAGUCUGGAAGGCACACUUGCUCAGCCUGUGGCCUGGAGAACAGGGGCUUGGGAAAUGCUGGAAAGGCCCUUUCUCCCCUUUCCCGCUCACACCCUCCUUUCCUAUCUGCCCUGUCUGUGCUCUGCUGUCCUAUCCCACAGAGUUCUGUGGGAAAAACACACUACAUCAACAACAACAAGAUAAUAAAGGGCAUGUCCAUGAGAGAGUAGGACAGGGGAGGGGGAAAGGGUGAUUUUGGCAGCAAUACCCCAUCAUCUAGUGCCUCUGCACUUCCCUCACCUCCCUCCUCCCUGAACCAGAUGGGAUUGGAAGUCAGAGCUGAAGAAAGCCAUAUAGAUUGCCCACCUAACCCCUUUCACUUACAGAUGAGGAAACUAAGCCCCAAAGACAUUAACUGAUUUGCCUAGGGUCACACAAGAAAUUUGUGAUGGUCAGAUCAAGAAUUCAGUUUUCAGACUCUCAGCCCAGUGCUCUUUCUGCCACUCCCCAUGAUACUGACUUGUCAGGUAUCAGUCAUGUUACACUCAGCCUUGACUUUUGGAGACCCACUUCCAAGAGUAGUGUGAAUCCAAGGGUUUCUUUUUGCCUGAGCACUGUUUCUCUCUCUGAGCUGAUUCCUCCACUGCUACUUGACUUUGGCUCCAAGAUGUCAGAGGUUCAGAGUCCAUUUCCAUGGGGGCCAAUCUCUCCUCCUGUGGUGCUCUCCUUGGGUGGACUCUCACUUCUGUCCCCUCUCACCUUCUGCUGUAUGCUGAUUAAACAGAGCUAUAGGCCCUGGAAUGUUUCUGCAGCCAGCACACAGAGACUGAUCCUGUAGCACAAGGACAAGGAUUGACAGCCUUGCCAGAACCUCUCAGGCAAUGGGAUGAGGGAGCAGGAUUGGCUGGGAGUAAUGUGGAGGAGGAUGAGGAAGUCCUGGGGGCACCACUUCUCUCCCUGUGCAUGCCCAAAUGAUGAGCUGGGCUGGGAUAAUCCUUGUAUCUACUCUGCUUCUGAGCACAGCCCACUUUGGAAGCCAACUCUUUCAUACUUGCACCAUUUAUUGCCUCACUGCAUUUAUAACGUGACUCCAGUGUGGACAAUCUGUGGCUGUUCUCCAUGAUUUGAGCACAUGCCGAGAUGCUGUGAUCAUCUCAGGGAUGUUGGCGUCCACUCGGACCCACUCCUGCACUCCCAGCUCAAUUUCUUGAGGGAGUCAGCUCCACUGACUUAUCUCUGUUUCUCUUUAGCUGUUGUUGUCAAAUCUUGGGUCUAAUUGCUAGGCCAUCGCCAAACACAGACUUGCUUAUCUUCAGGAUUCCACAAUCUCUGGCUCUACUCUCCUGUGCAUUCAGUCUUUUCACUCCUCUACGUCUGUGAAGUGUUCUUUUCCUCUUAGUUCUCCUUGCUGACUCAGUCCCCUAUCUGGGUGAAGGCACGCAGUGCUUCCCUUCUAGAAGCUUGCUUCCUUUCCUUGGGACAGAAGAAUUCAUGCCUGAAAGGCUGCUUGAUGUCAACAAAACAACAUGCAAAGAGGCAUUGAAACCAACAACCUAAAACGGAGCUGAUUUAAAAAAAUUCUGUCCAGUAUCUAGAACUUUGUCACCAUGAUGUUAAGCAUCUUAACUUUUUAAAAGCAUUUUCCACUUUUCAGCCAGAUGUUUGAAGUCAGGCAGAUGUGCCUAAUAUUGCAUAAUCACAAAGCUGCUCACUCUCAGUUUCAGGAGGCAAAUGCGGCCCAAUCCAGGGAAAUCAACUGACGGCAUGUCAUGGCCAUCACAGAUCUGAGGAGCUGGCCUUUGGGUGAUUUCUGGUUCACAUGACAAACAUUCAAGAUGAAUCAGAGGAGAAAAGCUACACGAAGUGAUGUGCAAGUUGAAAACAGAAAAGGCAACAUCCAGCAAAACAGAACAUGGAGACUGAGGACAUGAAACAGAAAGAAGCAUAGGACAAGACCCCUCCUCCAAAUUGCAGUCCUUUAGGAAUUUCUGGAGAGGUAACCUGGAGUCUCCCCAAGCUUCCUGCAGCCCAACCCACCAACCCACCAACCUGGCUGAUGCAUAUGUGGAAUAUCAGCUUCCUGUUCUUUGAAGGGCAAAAAGGACACCGAAGUAUAGCCUACGGGCUCUGCGGCCCAAAGCUCAUUAAGAAGAUAGUAGAUUUAGGCCAGGCGCAGUGGCUUACGCCUGUAAUCCUAGCAUUUUAGGAGGCCUAGGCGAGUAAAUUGCCUGAGCUCAGGAGUUCGAGACCAGCCUGGGCAACACAGUAAAACCUCGUC